UGGAUAGGAAAUGCUUUGUAGUCGGGAAAGAAAGGUUUGGUGUUGUAAACACGAGGCAAAUGUUCCGAUAAUGGGGGUCUCCUAGGAGUACUCCGCAAAAGAUUUUAAUCGCUACAAAUUAGCCUGUUUAGGAUUAGAUAGUUGGUGAGGUAAAAGCUUACCAAGUCGAAGAUCCUUAGUCGGUUUGAGAGAAUGAUCGGCCACACUGGAACUGAGAAAGGUCCAGCAUCCAUUAGGAUGCAGCAGUGGGGAAUAUUGGACACUCUGCGAAAGCUGGAUCCAGCAAUAUUGCGUGAGUGA
Molecule: ribosomal RNA, 300 nt
Filed under: uncultured bacterium
Lineage: Bacteria
Description: bacterial SSU rRNA
Rfam family: Bacterial small subunit ribosomal RNA
Source: RNAcentral